AAACUGGGCCCUGAAGCAGCAGAGGGCUUUGCCCAGGGUGGUGGCACUAGACUGGGACAGAUUAGGAUGAGGUGCCGGGCCCUUCCUGCUACUGGUGUCCUUUCUCCUCAGUCACAAGGACAUAGUAGCUGAGGGGUUGCGCCAGCUGCUGGGGGAGGAGAAAUACCGCCAGGACCUGACUGUGCCUCCAGGCUACUGCACAGGUGAGCAAGGGGCAGGCGGCAGGCCCGGGGAGACGGAGCCCUGGCUAAGGCCGCCGGCCCUGCUCCCCCUCCAGACUUCCUGCUGUGCGUCAGCAGCUCUGGUGCUGUGCUUCCCGUGAGGACCCAGGACCCCUUCCUGCCAUACCCACCAAGGUCCUGCCCACAGGGCCAGGCUGCCUCUAGCGCCACUACUCGAGACCCUGCCCAGAGGUAAAGGAGGCAGGGUGGGGGAGCCCUGGCCACCUUGCCCGCCAUGCCCUGAGCCACGUCCCUCCCCCUGCAGAGUGGUGCUGGUGUUGCGGGAACGCUGGCAUUUCUGC
This 523-nucleotide small RNA is filed under the name Pan troglodytes (chimpanzee). RNAcentral's name for it is "retained intron". The record is from RNAcentral. Lineage: Eukaryota; Metazoa; Chordata; Mammalia; Primates; Hominidae.